ACCCUAUACAUGCCAUAGACUAGAAUCACUUGAGUUUACUUACGCCAAUAGCGUUAACUCGACAUGUGAUAAUAUCUCUGAUGGCCUCCAACCCGAGCUAACCUGGAAACUCUAGAAAACAUGGGAAAGAAGGGGGGUAAGCUUUCGCUUAGUAAGUUCAUAUGAAAACAAUAAGCAACUCAUUAACUUGUUUUAUCAAUGUUUACAACAUAUUCUCAAGUUCACUACAAGCUGUCAUCCUGAGCAACGGUCACUAAAUUAUUUAUCUCUGGAGCUAAGAAACUCCGAAUUAAGUUCCGUUAAUUUUCCCUGAAACUAGAAUUAUUUUACUUUCUUUCAUAAAAUUUCAAGAAUUUUUGGUUAAUCCAAAUAGUACAGUUUAUUAGUUAAAAUCCCCCCUGUUUCAGGGUAUGACCACUCUGACCCCUGUGCACUACAAACCGAAUUUCUCCUUGUACAAAAUUCCAAAAACCAUUUAGUUUAUUUUUCCUAAAAAUAGGCUCAAUAAGGAAUCCAUGAAUGUAAGGUAUGACUCUUAAUAAUGUUUGUACAAUUUUUGGUGAAUUUCUAAAGUCAGAAAAGGGGAUCUCGAAUUCAUUCAGACCCUGUUUCACAAGAAUUCAAAUAUCACACAAUAUGGAAUUCUUUUUCUUCCCCUGUUUCUUUCAUGUGAAAAUAGACUCAUUAAGCUUUAAUCCCAUAUUUUAUUCAGCCUCUAACUGAUUUUCCACUAUUUUUAGUGUAUUUUCAAAGUUACACUACUGCAGUAACUCAAAUCUGUCAAGGCUAAAUUACUCAUUCAUGAUCAUUGUUCACAAAAUUAAUACAACAUCGUUUGUAUAAUCAUCACCGAGACAUUCAUAUCACAUUUUCAUUUACCAUCUUACCAUAUUGUUGUUAUGUCGAGUUUUCAACUCGAGGGUUAAGUACAUACCUGUUCAAAGUAUUCAUUUUACAACAUUUACCAAUACGUCCCUUUCAUCUCGAGUAUUCCUCCAUUUGAGUAGAAUUUUACCCGUUGAACACAUCGGAAUAUAAUUCGGAUACAUGGAAAGUUUGCACAUAAGUGCCACAUAUGUAGCCAAGCUACCAUGUAACCCGCCCAUAAGUGAACUCGGACUCAACUCAACGAGCUCGGGCGUUCGCAUCCAUAAGUGAACUCGGACUCAACUCAACGAGCUCGGAUGCCUAGUUACAUCUCACGAACUCGGACUCAACUCAACGAGUUCGAACAUUCGCAUCCAUAAGUGAACUCGGACUCAACUCAACAAGUUCAGAUGCUCAACCAUCCUAGUGACAUGUCACUUGUAUCCUAAUCUAUUCCUAAGGUUCAAACGGGAUUUUCCUCGAACACAUAUCCUUGCCAUCUUCCGUAAAAUACCGAAACCGAUACUCAGUAGCACUUUAUAUUUAACAGAUAAUACACAUAACUUUCAUUUUAUUCGAAAAUAACCACAAAGCAUAUAUUUCAUGAUAAAAAUCAGCAUAUCAUAUAUUUAAUAUCAAUAACUUAAAAAUAACAAUUAUGCUACAUUAUUUACACAUGAACUUACCUCGAUACCACAAAGGUGAAAAGACAUACUCGUUCAUAAAUCGAUUUCUUUCCGUUCUAGGUCCAAAUCUCAAUUUUCAUCAUCUAUAACAUCACGUUUAGCCUACUAAUCAGUCACAAUAUUCAUAUGGGUCUAAAUAUCAUAUUUUUACAAAUUUUCAUUUUGACCCCUAAACUUUUGCAUAUUUGCACUUUUGCCCCAAUGCUCGUGAAUUAAUUUUUAUUCAAUUUCUAUAAGGUUUAAGACAUGCUGAACAUUUUUCUCUUCUAUGGCAACUCCAAAUUCUCACUAAUUCACACACUUAUGACCAAUUUAUAACUUUUACAAUUUAACCCCUUUUUGACAUUUUUACCGAAAUUCAUUGAAUAAAACUCAUAUUUAACACAUCAAACAUUCAUUAUCCACUAUAAAUCAUCAAAACACAACCAUAUCAUGAAUGGGUAAAUUUUUAAACUCUAAUUUCUUUUCAAUCAAUUGGUAGAAAUAGAAAAUUUAAGCUUCGGGGAUCUCAAAAAUACGAAAAUCAUUAAAAACGAGACAAAAACCGUACCUAUAUAAGCCAUAGAAGCUGGGCCGAAUGGAGCUCAUCCAUGGCUGCCAUUUUCAGUU
This 2162-nucleotide long non-coding RNA is filed under the name Gossypium barbadense (sea-island cotton). RNAcentral's name for it is "long non-coding RNA (GBAR_LNC009043)". The record is from RNAcentral. Lineage: Eukaryota; Viridiplantae; Streptophyta; Magnoliopsida; Malvales; Malvaceae.